Non-coding RNA from Paramuricea clavata, 508 nucleotides. The record is from the annotation of a GenBank genome assembly. Lineage: Eukaryota; Metazoa; Cnidaria; Anthozoa; Malacalcyonacea; Plexauridae.
GUUUGUCAAUUAAACUUAAGAAUUCCCGUCCUAUAUUCGUGUUAACACUCUUACUAAAUGGUGGGUUGAACCAAAUUAUGUUGCGUUGCUUAUUCCUACGUGUCCGUUGAGAUGCAUCCUGAGUGUACGUAAAUUCGUAAUCGAAGUUACUAUGUCUAAGGGCGUCCUGGUAAAUAGGCGUAGAUUCCUUAAAUGUUUGUUCGUCCAAUGAGAGAAGUGCAAUGCGUUUGUUGAUAGCCGUAGGUAAUUGUCUUGGUGGAUGGUUUGAAUCUCUGUUGAUGUACAAUGGAUCGUCAUUGGGUUUCCUGUAUGGUUUGUGUUUCACGUCGGUUCAGGUCGAAAGUAACAUCUAAAAAAUUUACAAGGUUCAAAUUUACUUCGGCAGUGAUUUUCAGGUCAAAUUGCUCGAAAAUGUUGUGUAACUCUUUUCUAGUUUUGUCUAGUAAACGAGCGGAUUUGCUUUUUAUAAUAGUCAAACCGUCAUCUCAUAUAUAAAGGCCGAUGUUUU